Molecule: ribosomal RNA, 427 nt
Filed under: uncultured bacterium
Lineage: Bacteria
Description: partial 16S ribosomal RNA
Rfam family: Bacterial small subunit ribosomal RNA
Source: RNAcentral
UGGGGAAUAUUGCACAAUGGGCGCAAGCCUGAUGCAGCCAUGCCGCGUGUGUGAAGAAGGCCUUCGGGUUGUAAAGCACUUUCAGCGAGGAGGAAGGGUAGUGUGUUAAUAGCACAUUGCAUUGACGUUACUCGCAGAAGAAGCACCGGCUAACUCCGUGCCAGCAGCCGCGGUAAUACGGAGGGUGCAAGCGUUAAUCGGAAUUACUGGGCGUAAAGCGCACGCAGGCGGUAUGUUAAGUCAGAUGUGAAAUCCCCGCGCUUAACGUGGGAACUGCAUUUGAAACUGGCAAGCUAGAGUCUUGUAGAGGGGGGUAGAAUUCCAGGUGUAGCGGUGAAAUGCGUAGAGAUCUGGAGGAAUACCGGUGGCGAAGGCGGCCCCCUGGACAAAGACUGACGCUCAGGUGCGAAAGCGUGGGGAGCAAACA